Non-coding RNA from Gossypium hirsutum (cotton), 124 nucleotides. The record is from Rfam. Lineage: Eukaryota; Viridiplantae; Streptophyta; Magnoliopsida; Malvales; Malvaceae.
AAUAAGAAAAUGACAAGUCAGAUUUUUCCUCCUGAUUUUCAGCUUUUUCCUCCUGAAAAAAAUUCAAAUCCAACUAAAAAUGCUAAAAAUCAGGAGGAAAAAUCUGAUUUAUCAUUCUCCUAUU